CUCCGGUGAUNCCUGCCGGACCCGACUGCUAUCAGAGUGGGACUAAGCCAUGCGAGUCAACAUAGCAAUAUGUGGCAUACGGCUCAGUAACACGUAGUCAGCAUGCCCAGGGGACGUGGAUAACCUCGGGAAACUGAGGAUAAACCGCGAUAGGUCAUCACUUCUGGAAUGGGUAAUGACUUAAAUCUAUAUGGCCCCUGGAUUGGACUGCGGCCGAUCAGGCUGUUGGUGAGGUAAUGGCCCACCAAACCUGUAACCGGUACGGGCUCUGAGAGGAGGAGCCCGGAGAUGGGCACUGAGACAAGGGCCCAGGCCCUAUGGGGCGCAGCAGGCGCGAAACCUCUGCAAUAGGCGAAAGCUUGACAGGGUUACUCUGAGUGAUUUCCGUUAAGGAGAUCUUUUGGCACCUCUAAAAAUGGUGCAGAAUAAGGGGUGGGCAAGUCUGGUGUCAGCCGCCGCGGUAAUACCAGCACCCCGAGUGGUCGGGACGUUUAUUGGGCCUAAAGCAUCCGUAGCCGGUUCUACAAGUCUUCCGUUAAAUCCACCUGCUUAACAGAUGGGCUGCGGAAGAUACUAUAGAGCUAGGAGGCGGGAGAGGCAAGCGGUACUCGAUGGGUAGGGGUAAAAUCCGUUGAUCCAUUGAAGACCACCAGUGGCGAAGGCGGCUUGCCAGAACGCGCUCGACGGUGAGGGAUGAAAGCUGGGGGAGCAAACCGGAUUAGAUACCCGGGUAGUCCCAGCUGUAAACGAUGCAGACUCGGUGAUGAGUUGGCUUAUUGCUAACUCAGUGCCGCAGGGAAGCCGUUAAGUUUGCCGCCUGGGGAGUACGGUCGCAAGACUGAAACUUAAAGGAAUGGCGGGGGAGCA
Molecule: ribosomal RNA, 867 nt
Filed under: uncultured archaeon
Lineage: Archaea
Description: bacterial SSU rRNA
Rfam family: Archaeal small subunit ribosomal RNA
Source: RNAcentral